GACUGGCUCUCACGCCCCGCGGUCGCGCGGCGCGGGCCUUUAAAGAGGACCGGAAGUGGCGUGCGCAAGAGGGGCGCGCGGGUACCAUCGAGAACAAGGAGCGCUGGUUCGAGGGCGCGGCUAGAGAGGCCUCCCCCGCCCCCGUCCCUUGGCCCCGCCCUUCCGCGGAUUCCUGGAGUCACCGGCCGCUCCUCGGCUUUGGUUGGCAGGCGCGGCCGACCUGGAGGGGUGUGGUUCGUCCAUCCCCAGCGGAGACUUCGUGGAGGCUGCCCUCAGGGAGCCACGGCUGUGGGCCCCGGGACCUGCGUGGGGCAGCGGGCCGCGCCUGUGCAGUGCUCCGCCGUCCCUGCGCCGGGUGACAUUGAGGCUCCGCCGCGGCGCUGUCCAAAGGCGGCUUUGAUGGUCGAGGCUGCCUCUUCUCAGAGUUGCUUCCCUAGUCUUAAGCUUUGCCUCCGUUAUUACAAGAGCCUAACGCCGGCCACGAUUCUUUGAAGUCACUAUGGAUUGGGAAGUGUAUGUAUUAAGGUCGACUCCAGGGCUCCUUUUUUUUUACGAGUUACAGUCCUUGUAUUAAACAGGAUAUAUAAAUGUCAUGAAUCAUCU
Molecule: long non-coding RNA, 603 nt
Filed under: Mus musculus (house mouse)
Lineage: Eukaryota; Metazoa; Chordata; Mammalia; Rodentia; Muridae
Description: predicted gene 17092 (ENSMUSG00000091623.4)
Source: RNAcentral